This is a long non-coding RNA of Zea mays, 659 nucleotides long. RefSeq lists it as uncharacterized. The record is from RefSeq and is a predicted model, not a curated record. The transcript is spliced from 2 exons. NCBI's taxonomy places the organism in Eukaryota, Viridiplantae, Streptophyta, Magnoliopsida, Poales, Poaceae.
CCCCUUUUGGCCGUAUAGCCCAAGCAUAGAAGUCUGACUUUGCCUGACCUUGCCACAACAUGCCUUGACCCCAUCGGACCUCGUCGUGCCCUCUCGCACCUGCCCCACCAUAGCCAACACUCUUCGAGAUAAACACACCCAAGUCUUUGUGUGUUCUGAGUUCCUUUAUAUGCCGUGAUGAUUAUGAGCCCGCCCGAUUGAACUCUACCGUAGCAGAGCCUCAGAAACAUCACGUCGCCACCGGUGAAUGCCGCUUCGGACCACCUCCUCGUCGACCGGCCAACCCGAAUGUUCUCCUAUCGAGUGUGCACGAGCGUCGUAGCUAUGGCACCUGAUCUUUGCUUUGGGAAAGAAGGGAUGUAGCAGCACAUCCACCACACUUUUAAAUAAAGGAACCACUGCUUAAUAAUGAUGUUAAACAAGGAGGAUCAAGUCUAGGGGAUUAUUACAUUCUAAUCUUUCAUGGUAGUUGAACUGUUUAGUUUGGUGGGCUGAGUUGUCUAUCUUUUGUCUGGUCAUGAAUGUUCAUUUCUACUGUUGCAUUUCGUUUAUACUAUGUCAAUUAUCUGUCUUUUAUAUCCUGUAUAAACUUUAUGCUUCCCUUGUUAUGCUACUUUCAAGGGAGGUGCUGCCGGAUUUUGCAAUACUUUCUUUCUCUA